UCGGUUAAAAAGCCGAAAUAAACACWUAAGACGAGAAGACCCUGUGGAGCUUUAAAUUCUAACCAAGACAUGCUAACGCAGCACGCCAUCAAUGGCUAACAAUUUUAAGUUGGGGCGACUUCGGAACUAAGAAAAACUUCCGAGCAUAAAGAGUAUUACUCUAACCUAGACCAACAAGUCAAAGCAAAUAUUGACCCAGUACCACUGAUCAACGAACCAAGUUACCCCAGGGAUAACAGCGCUAUCUUCUUCAAGAGUCCAUAUCGACAAGAAGGUUUACGACCUCGAUGUUGGAUCAGGACACCCAAAUGGUGCAGCAGCUAUUAAAGGUUCGUUUGUUCAACGAUUAACAGUCCU
RNAcentral lists this ribosomal RNA (357 nucleotides) under Oplurus cyclurus. Its description in RNAcentral is "partial 16S ribosomal RNA". It matches the Rfam family "Bacterial large subunit ribosomal RNA", at positions 2050 to 2597 of the family's 2925-position model. The record is from RNAcentral. Lineage: Eukaryota; Metazoa; Chordata; Lepidosauria; Squamata.